RNAcentral lists this ribosomal RNA (408 nucleotides) under Campylobacter jejuni. RNAcentral describes it as "partial 23S ribosomal RNA". It matches the Rfam family "Bacterial large subunit ribosomal RNA", at positions 1 to 428 of the family's 2925-position model. The record is from RNAcentral. Lineage: Bacteria; Pseudomonadati; Campylobacterota; Epsilonproteobacteria; Campylobacterales; Campylobacteraceae.
AAAGGUAAGCUACUAAGAGCGAAUGGUGGAUGCCUUGACUGGUAAAGGCGAUGAAGGACGUACUAGACUGCGAUAAGCUACGGGGAGCUGUCAAGAAGCUUUGAUCCGUAGAUUUCCGAAUGGGGCAACCCAAUGUAUAGAGAUAUACAUUACCUAUAUAGGAGCGAACGAGGGGAAUUGAAACAUCUUAGUACCCUCAGGAAAAGAAAUCAAUAGAGAUUGUGUCAGUAGCGGCGAGCGAAAGCGCAAGAGGGCAAACCCAGUGCUUGCACUGGGGGUUGUAGGACUGCAAUGUGCAAGAGCUGAGUUUAGCAGAACAUUCUGGAAAGUAUAGCCAUAGAGGGUGAUAGUCCCGUAUGCGAAAAACAAAGCUUAGCUAGCAGUAUCCUGAGUAGGGCGGGACACGAG